Molecule: non-coding RNA, 588 nt
Organism: Plectropomus leopardus (leopard coralgrouper)
Lineage: Eukaryota; Metazoa; Chordata; Actinopteri; Perciformes; Serranidae
Source: RefSeq, a predicted model, not a curated record
CUCUUCUCCUCUGCUGUCUUUCUUCGUCUCACCUCCCAGAUGCUGCCCAGCUCUACCAGCAGUACAGCGAGGCUGCCCAGAACUUUGAGAUCCUGCGCCAGGCUCGCCCUGAUGUCACCUCUGUGUGCGAGGACAACACACCAUCACCCGCGCCCUCGCCUCCUCCUGCCCGCAGACCUCUGCCUCCUCUACCCCCUGUCCCGCACCCGCACUCCUUGACCCACACAGGCUCCAUCACCAGUGUCAAUAGCUUGCCUCUCCCCGAGCCCCCCAGGAGUGAAGGCAGGCCUUCCUCCCCACGUCUGUCCAUCUGUCUCUCGCAGUCGGCCACACUGUGGCGGGACCUGCCGGGGGUCAGGAACAGUGUUGAGCUGGAGGAGCUCACAGAGGACCAGAGGAGACUACAGGAGGUCAGAUUUGAGGUGGUAACUUCAGAGGCCUCCUACUGCCGGAGUUUGGACAUUGUUGUUGGACACUUUGUCAAGUCCAAACAGCUGGGGUCGCUGUUAACCACUCAAGAUAGAAACUGGCUAUUUUCCAGACUUGCUGACGUCCGUGCAAUCAGCCACAGUUUUUUGUCAAAGCUGG